Molecule: transfer RNA, 83 nt
Filed under: Streptosporangiales bacterium
Lineage: Bacteria; Bacillati; Actinomycetota; Actinomycetes; Streptosporangiales
Description: tRNA-Leu
Rfam family: tRNA
About the family: Transfer RNA (tRNA) molecules are approximately 80 nucleotides in length. Their secondary structure includes four short double-helical elements and three loops (D, anti-codon, and T loops).
Source: RNAcentral
GCCGGGAUGGCGGAAUGGCAGACGCCGAUGCCUCAAAAGCAUCUGCCCUCCGGGGCGUGCGGGUUCGAAUCCCGCUCCCGGCA